This 1140-nucleotide ribosomal RNA is filed under the name Triticum aestivum (bread wheat). Its description in RNAcentral is "partial small subunit ribosomal RNA". The record is from RNAcentral. Lineage: Eukaryota; Viridiplantae; Streptophyta; Magnoliopsida; Poales; Poaceae.
AUGCACUUUAUUCCCCGUCUUUCACUCUUUUUCCUCCUCUCUUCUUCUCCCUCCUCUCUCCCCCAUCGUCGGCCGCACACCAUUUCCCCCCGCUCACUGCUCGCCCGCCCGCGCCAUCUUCCUUGUAGACACAAAUGCGCUGGCCUUCAUGAUUCCAGGACCUGGAAUCAUACCAGCCGAUGGUACCAUACAACUGGAAUUAACCGAUACAACUCCAAGAAGGAUUGGCCGGUGCUGCCGGCUGGCGUCAAGUUCGAUCCCACGGAUCAGGAGCUGAUCGAGCACCUUGAGGCCAAAGUGAGUGCUGACAGCGCAAGAUCUCACCCUCUCAUCGAUUUGUUCAUACCAACCAUCGACAGCGAGCACGGCAUAUGCUACACCCAUCCUGAGAAACUUCCAGGUAUCACACUGAGUGGCCUAAGCAAGCAUUUCUUCCAGCGCAAUUCCAGGGCGUUCAAAAGGAGCACUUGGACGCGUUGCAAGAUACAGUCGGAGUGUGGAAUGCACGCGAUGUGGCACAAGACCGGCAAUACCUUGCCGGUGAUAGUUAAUGGCCGGCAGACGGGCAACAAAAAGGUUCUGGUGCUGCACACCAACAAGAACUUCGACCAUUCCCGCAAAAAAAAGAACUUCGACCGGCAGAGGACCAACUGCGUGAUGCACCAGUACCACCUCGGGGACCUGGAGCAAGAGAAGGAGAGGGAGUUGGUCCUCUGCAAGAUUUUCUACCAAAAGAACACUAGGGCCGGGACUAAAAAGAUUAUAAGUCGAGCAAGUUUCAACUGGGCUGUAGACUGCCCAAGCUUGGUUUUGUUUUUAAUAGCCCCAGCCCAUGACGACAACGGGGCACAAAGAUCCAGCAGGGUUACCCAACCACCCUUACGAGAUAGAAAGGAGUUGCUCCGGGAGCGUGGUUCGAUGCUACCCUUGCCACCGCGUCACGUCAAGGAGAAGCCGCACUCUCUGCCGCACUACCGCGUCAAGGAGGGGAUGUCACCUCUCUACCGCGUGAAGGAGGAGCCCGCGCCCCCACACAACUGCGGCGUCCAAAGCAGACAUUGCGUCAAGCAGAAGCCGAUGUCACCGACAUGCAACCGCAACAUCCAAAUCGGGUGCCACGUGAAGGAGGAGCCGACGUAG